Molecule: non-coding RNA, 158 nt
Filed under: Oryctes borbonicus
Lineage: Eukaryota; Metazoa; Arthropoda; Insecta; Coleoptera; Scarabaeidae
Description: Eukaryotic small subunit ribosomal RNA
Rfam family: Eukaryotic small subunit ribosomal RNA
Source: Rfam by way of RNAcentral
CACCGCUCGUCGCUACUACCGAUUGAAUGAUUUAGUGAGGUCUUCGGACCGGUGCGGUGUUUUACUACGUGGCUGAUGUUGCUGGGAAGAUGACCAAACUUGAUCAUUUCGAGGAAGUAAAAGUCAGAACAAGGUUUCCGUAGGUGAACCUGCGGAAG